UACGUAGGGUGCAAGCGUUAAUCGGAAUUACUGGGCGUAAAGCGUGCGCAGGCGGUCCGUUAAGACAGAUGUGAAAUCCCCGGGCUUAACCUGGGAACUGCAUUUGUGACUGGCGGACUCGAGUAUGGCAGAGGGGGGUAGAAUUCCACGUGUAGCAGUGAAAUGCGUGAGAGAUGUGGAGGAAUACCCGAUGGCGAAGGCAGCCCCCUGGGCCAAUA
This 218-nucleotide ribosomal RNA is filed under the name uncultured bacterium. RNAcentral describes it as "partial 16S ribosomal RNA". It matches the Rfam family "Bacterial small subunit ribosomal RNA", at positions 524 to 739 of the family's 1533-position model. The record is from RNAcentral.